CUUAAAGGAAUUGACGGACUCCUACGGGAGGCAGCAGUGGGGAAUUGUUCGCAAUGGGCGCAAGCCUGACGACGCAACGCCGCGUGGAGGAUGAAGGUCUUCGGAUUGUAAACUCCUGUUGCUCGGGACGAAAAGCUUCGACCUAACACGUCGAGGUCUGACGGUACCGAGUGAGGAAGCACCGGCUAACUACGUGCCAGCAGCCGCGGUAAUACAGAGGGGGCAAGCGUUGUUCGGAAUUACUGGGCGUAAAGGGCGCGUAGGCGGCCCGCUAAGUCGAACGUGAAAUCCCCGAGCUCAACUCGGGAACUGCGUCCGAUACUGGCGGGCUUGAAUCCGGGAGAGGGAUGCGGAAUUCCAGGUGUAGCGGUGAAAUGCGUAGAUAUCUGGAGGAACACCGGUGGCGAAGGCGGCAUCCUGGACCGGCAUUGACGCUGAGGCGCGAAAGCUAGGGGAGCAAACGGGAUUAGAUACCCCGGUAGUCCUAGCUGUAAACGAUGGGCACUGGGUAGAGGGAUUCUUAUGUGUCUCUCUGCCGGAGCUAACGCGUUAAGUGCCCCGCCUGGGGAGUAUGCUCGCAAGGGUAAAACUCAAAGGAAUUGACG
RNAcentral lists this ribosomal RNA (605 nucleotides) under uncultured Acidobacteriota bacterium. Its description in RNAcentral is "bacterial SSU rRNA". It matches the Rfam family "Bacterial small subunit ribosomal RNA", at positions 318 to 915 of the family's 1533-position model. Lineage: Bacteria; Pseudomonadati; Acidobacteriota. The record is from RNAcentral.